Non-coding RNA from Macaca mulatta (Rhesus monkey), 1598 nucleotides. The record is from RefSeq and is a predicted model, not a curated record. NCBI's taxonomy places the organism in Eukaryota, Metazoa, Chordata, Mammalia, Primates, Cercopithecidae.
ACAUCAAUGUUAUCUGUAACUUCCGGUGCACUGGGGCACACAGCUGCAUCUCCCCAUGCUCACCUCCUGCCUCUUGCUGUGCUCAGUGUGAAGACUUAGCCUGGAUCACCUCCUCCAGGACAAGAACAACCUACCCUCAUCUGUCCAUCCAAUCUACCCACCCAUCCAUCCCUGCCUCUGGACAUGUAUCCUUCCAUCCAUCCAUCCCCCGCCUCUGUGCAUGCAUCUGUCCGUCCAUCCAUCCCUGCCUCUGUGCAUGCAUCUGUCCAUCCAUCCCUGCCUCUGUGCGUGCAUCUGUCCAUCCAUCCAUCCCUGCCUCUGUGCGUGCAUCUGUCCAUCCAUCCAUCCCUGCCUCUGUGCAUGCAUCUGUCAGUCCAUCCAUCCCUGCCUCUGUGCAUGCAUCUGUCAGUCUAUCCAUCCCUGCCUCUGUGCAUGCAUCUGUCCAUCCAUCCCUGCCUCUGUGCAUGCAUCUGUCCAUCCAUCCCUGCCUCUGUGCAUGCAUCUGUCCGUCCAUCCAUCCCUGCCUCUGUGCAUGCAUCUGUCAGUCCAUCCAUCCCUGCCUCUGUGCAUGCAUCUGUCAGUCUAUCCAUCCCUGCCUCUGUGCAUGCAUCUGUCCAUCCAUCCCUGCCUCUGUGCAUGCAUCUGUCCAUCCAUCCCUGCCUCUGUGCAUGCAUCUGUCCAUCCAUCCAUCCCUGCCUCUGUGCAUGCAUCUGUCAGUCCAUCCAUCCCUGACCCCUUCUUUGUAUCAGCUCAUCCAGUGUUCAGUGCUCACAACUCCCUCAUCCUAAGACGCUCAUUGGACCUAUUCCCUCCCCUCACCCCACGCGGCUCUCUGCCCUCCCUUCCCAGUCAAGUUCUCCAGCCAGUGGUCUCAACUCAAUCUUCACUUCCUCUGCUCCUCUCAUGCCUAAGCCCACUGUGGCCUAAAUUCUUCCCCAACGCGCUGGGUCUACAGGCACUAAAAAGGUGACUUUGUCCCUAGAUGACCAAAUACAAGCCAAUGUAAUUUACUGGGCUUGUUUUUGUCCCAGCCACGGCUGACCACUUCCUCCUUCACUCUUGUUGUUGAUCACCUUUGGGCUCAGUCUUUCUCCAUCUCUGUUGAUGCCACCUACCCCUUCAUGGUGGGGUUCUCUGUAGCUCUGUAUCUGACCGUCACGUUCCACCCUUUCCUCCCAGAAGCUUGCCAGCCCCCAUGGACUGCUGGCUCUCAAGGCGGCCACUAGCCCAGCUCUGACAGCAGAUGGCAAUGCACACUAUGUGGCCCGGGGCAGGCCCUGUGCUGAGAGGCACGGGUGAAUCGCUCAUUUCAUCGGCAAGCCCAUGCCACCAGCAGGCACCAUUCUCCUUGCAUUUCUCAGGCGAGGAACCUGAGACAAUGAGGUGAAGGAAGUUAUUCAUUACGAGGGGAAGAACCCUGACUUACUUGAAUUCAACUUUGAAGCCCACAUCCUCCUUUUGUGUGUGACAGGGUCUCACUGUGUCACCCAGGCCGCAGUGCAGUGGUGUGAACACAGCUCAUUACAGUCUCAACCUCCCUGACUCAAGCAAUCCUCCCGUUUCAGCCUCCUGAGUAGCUGGGACUACAAGCAUGUGCC